RNAcentral lists this ribosomal RNA (529 nucleotides) under uncultured bacterium. RNAcentral describes it as "bacterial SSU rRNA". It matches the Rfam family "Bacterial small subunit ribosomal RNA", at positions 9 to 527 of the family's 1533-position model. The record is from RNAcentral.
GAGUUUGAUCCUGGCUCAGAUUGAACGCUGGCGGCAUGCCUUACACAUGCAAGUCGAACGGCAGCACAGCAGUAGCAAUACUGUGGGUGGCGAGUGGCGGACGGGUGAGGAACACAUCGGAAUUUGCCCAGUCGUGGGGGAUAACGUAGGGAAACUUACGCUAAUACCGCAUACGACCUUACGGUGAAAGCGGGGGAUCGCAAGACCUCGCGCGGAUGGAUGAGCCGAUGUCGGAUUAGCUAGUUGGUGGGGUAAAGGCCUACCAAGGCGACGAUCCGUAGCUGGUCUGAGAGGAUGAUCAGCCACACUGGGACUGAGACACGGCCCAGACUCCUACGGGAGGCAGCAGUGGGGAAUAUUGGACAAUGGGGGCAACCCUGAUCCAGCAAUGCCGCGUGUGUGAAGAAGGCCUUCGGGUUGUAAAGCACUUUUAUCCGGAACGAAACGUGCGGGGUGAAUAGCCUCGUAAACUGACGGUACCGGAGGAAUAAGCACCGGCUAACUUCGUGCCAGCAGCCGCGGUAAUCCC